UACGUAGGGUGCAAGCGUUAAUCGGAAUUACUGGGCGUAAAGCGUGCGCAGGCGGUGAUGUAAGACAGUUGUGAAAUCCCCGGCUCAACCUGGGAACUGCAUCUGUGACUGCAUCGCUGGAGUGCGGCAGAGGGGGAUGGAAUUCCGCGUGUAGCAGUGAAAUGCGUAGAUAUGCGGAGGAACACCGAUGGCGAAGGCAAUCCCCUGGGCCUGCACUGACGCUCAUGCACGAAAGCGUGGGGAGCAAACAGG
Molecule: ribosomal RNA, 252 nt
Filed under: uncultured bacterium
Lineage: Bacteria
Description: partial 16S ribosomal RNA
Rfam family: Bacterial small subunit ribosomal RNA
Source: RNAcentral